Molecule: long non-coding RNA, 16376 nt
Filed under: Lactuca sativa (garden lettuce)
Lineage: Eukaryota; Viridiplantae; Streptophyta; Magnoliopsida; Asterales; Asteraceae
Description: long non-coding RNA (LSAT_LNC009643)
Source: RNAcentral
UAACAUCCCGAAAAUCAGGACAUAAAUUUUUUUUUCUUUUAGUUUAAUAAAUUGAUAAUACAUAUUGUUUCCAUAAAACCAGAGUAACCAAUAUUUAACAAAACAUCAUUAAAUCAGAGUAAUUCACAGAAUGCUGAAACAUGUGUUGUGUGCACUGCAAUCGUCCCGAACUCUUCCAUUUGAAAACUGGAGUACCAAAAACAUAAACUGAAAACUGUAAGCACAAAGAUUAGCGAGUCCCCCAAAAUACCAUACAACAUACAAUCACAUGAAAACCAUGCAAGAGAAAGGCAUACAUGAAUUGCCAUGGGCACCCUCCAUGGUAUUUACUUGGAAUGCCUUGGGCUCCUCCCACUAUCUGAUAACCAAGUGACAUGGACUCCCCCCAUGGUCUGACAUCCAAUUGCCACGGGCUCCCUCUGCGGUCUUCCAUGCAAGUAUUACAAAGACAACUAGCAUACCACAUAACACGUAAUGGGUUGGCAUUGGUGCCUUCGACCCAUGGAUAUAGUGAGAGGACUCACCUCGCACUGUUGAACCAUACAGAAACACCCUUGGCUAUUGGAUGGCAGAUCCCGGGACUAUCAAUAACAAAAAAAAACACCUAAUUACCAAUUGGGUUCCAAUCCAUAACCACAACUCCAUACCUGGGGUAAAAAGACCAUUUUACCCCAAACCUAGCCUCGUCCAAAUCUAAGACCCAAACUUACAAUCUGAAAGGCCUAAAGGCCAAUUAAUCAACCAAUGGCCCAAUUUUCCAAAUUGGUCCCAACCCCUUACAUGGGUCUUACCUUAAGGCCUAACCAUUAGUUCUAGUCCAAAACACUUUGUAUUCCGAUGGCCCAUUAAAUACUCACACACUCAAACUCAAAAUAUCAAAAACCACUUGUGGCCCAAAUCAUGGCCUAAUUUUCCAAAUUGGGCCCAAACCCCUUCGUGGUCCUUCUCAACAUCACUAUCAGACCAAAACCUGAUGGCCCAAUAGGACCCAUGACAAAUAAGCCCAACAAAUGGCCUACACUAAAGCCCAAUAAGAAAAAGUUCCCUUGACUGAGUACGCGGGGCGUACUCAGCUGUACACUAAGUGUACUAGUUGUUUGGCUUGUACGCUGCGCGUACAGACUUGUACGCCCAUCGUACUCCUCCAUUGAGCCAAAACCUUCAUUAAGCUCUUAAUGCUUGACCCCAUAAGCCCAAACCAUAGGUCUACUACUAGAUGAACGUCUAGAACCAUAAAGUCACUGACUUGGUGAUUUGCAUGCCCCAAGAAGACCCAAUAUCAAAGUGUAGCAUUCUACUUUCAUGAAAAGGACCCAAAAUCAAACAUGGAUGGUUUUAAACUCUAAAGGUGCCAACUUUAUGGACCUUGAACCUCAGAAACACUAAGUGGGGAAAAUCAAAGCUCCUGAAAUGGGAUCAAUACCACUAUAUCUCAUUUUUAGGAGCAAAAUGAACCAAAACGCAUAAAUGAUAGAUCUAAGACAUCAAUAAUCAAGCUCAAAGCUUUUUACCUCCAACAAGCUGGAAAUGAGACACAUAAGCAAGAUCCAUAAGCUCUUCCUUGAUUCCCAUCCUUGCACCAAACUCCAUCUUCUUGGAGAUUGACCAAACACACCAAAAAAGGACACCAUGAGCUCAAAAUGUCACCAUGAAGGCUAAAGGACGGUUUGGGGUUUUGAGAUGGUGGAGGCUGACCUAGAAAUGAAGGAAAAGGGUUAACAUUAUGCUUAUAUAGGGUAAAACCCUAAAAUUAGGGUUUCUUCAUAAAGUCAUGCAUGAGUUGAUCAUUUUACAAAUAUUAUUAAGUCAUCUUUGUAAUAAUUAAAUCAAGAAACCUUAUUUUUAUGUUCCAUAGAAAAAUCAAACUACAAAUAAUUACUGAGUCACAAUAGGCAAAUAAUAUCAAACUAAAAUCAAACAUCAAACUAAAUACAAAUGUAAAAUAAAGAUAAGUUAUUUAUAUGUUACCAUUUUAUACAUACCUGGUUUGUCUCUGAUUUAGAAUAAAGAAAAUGUUAUACCACACACAUUAUCACAUACAUGUGCGGGUUUAGUUCGUGUUCUUCCAUAUACGUGUGUUUUUUACCCAUACCACCAAUAAUUGUAAAUCGAAUCCAUCAUGUGAAAAAGUUCAUCUUUAUCAAUUAGAUCUAAAUAUUAAAAAAAAUCAUCCUUUCUAGAAGUUCUUUGUGUCGUUUCUCUUACAUCUUUGUUCCUUCACACCACAAAAACAUAGGCAUAUAGCAUAGAUCGGUGUAGAAGGCAUAACAUGGCAGUUAACGUAAGUGCUGGUGGUGGGAUAACGACGAUUGUAGUGAAAGAUUACGGGUUUAACAUACACACACACACACAGAGAGAGAUAAGAAUGUUGAGGUUUCCAAAAAAAGGUUGAGACGGGAAAUGGUGGAAACGUGCUUUUCUUCUACGAUUGCACAUAGUGAACUUGGGGAACACCGACCCCUAAACUCGACAUGUCAAGAUCGGAAUGGCAGCUCAACAAUGGCAAGCGGAGUCUUUUUAUUCUUACUCUCUUCUUCCCUCCUUUCUUCUCACCAUUCGACAACCCACCCCUCUCUUCUCCAUCGUUUCUUCUUCCAAGCUUUUCGCCCAUUUAUUCUCUGAUGGAGCUCGGUGUUCUUAGGGGCAGAGCCAGUAUAUGGAUAUAAGCGGGGAUAAAAAUGUAGCAUCCCAAACCUACUAAGUAAUUUUUUUAAAUACGUCAAAACCAUUCAUUCGUUGUUCCAAAAGACGAUCAGAGUCAAAGUAUUCUCAAAACAUCAGAGUAAAGUCAUAACACUCAAUGCAAAAAUAAAUCUUUACAGGAUGUAGUGCGAUCAAGUUGGUCCCUUCAUUUUGAAACCAAAAGUACCUGAAAAUAUUAAAACUAAACCAUAAGCACAAAGCUAAGUGAGUUCUCCAAAAUACCAUAUCCAAAAUAAAUGGGCCCAACCCAGCACAUAACUAAAUGGGCCUAACUCAACAUACAUAAAUGGGCCCAUCCCAACAUAAUAAUGGGCCCAACCCAACAUACAUUAUAAUGAUCCCAACCCAACAUCUAUAAUAAUGGCCCAACCCAACAUAUAAAUGGGCUCAUCCCAAUAUAACUAAUAAUGGGCCUAGUCUAACAUACAAAUAAGCCCAGCCCAACAUACAAGUGGGCCCAACCCAACAUACAAGUGGGCCCAACCCAACAUACAAAUUGGCCCAACCCAACAUAAACAUGCAAGAGUCACAAAGAAAACUAACACAAUCCAAUGGGCCGACAUUAGUGUCUUCGACCUAUGAGAAUAGUGGGAAGACUCACCUCAAUCGGUCAACAAAAAUAUCUCAUACACGAACUGUUGGUGCUAAAGUCUCUCUCACUAAACAUAUCCAAAACUAAACCAUAAUUAUCAAUUAAAGUUAAUACUCCAACUUAGUAAUUUCAAAUACCAAGAUAAAUCCUCAUUUGGUCAAAAGACCAUUUUUCCUUUUAUAAGUCCUCAACCCCUCACCGUUGACCAAAAGUCAAACUAGUAAAAAAAGUCAACGGUCAACAUUUCGUUGACUUACGCGCUACAUACGUCUUACUCUACGCAGGGCAUAGAGUCUUAUGCAGAAAACAGGCAAGAAUCAGGCUACGUUACGCGUAGCCCAGAUUAUGCCCCGUAUAUGGCGUCCCUUGCCACACUUUAUUUUAAGCACUUAAUACAUAAAGACCUUGCACUCAAAUCCUAUAUCUAGUUCCUAAUAGCUCUAUAAUGGUUAAAAUUUCCAACUUUAGCCAUUAGGAUGGUUCAAACAACCAAGAUCUAGUCUUUAAGCCUUAAAAGGGACCAAAAUGCAUCUUUCUCAACAUACUCCAGUAAGUCCAAGUCUCCAACCUUCAAAUCUAAAUCAAUAUGAUGUUUAGAUGGAUAAAGUCUCCAACUUUAUCCAUAACAAGGUCACAAACUUUCAAGAUCCAAAAUUUAUGCACUAAAAUGACCCAAAAACACUAACACAACUUGCAUGGCUUAAUGAACAAGCACCAAAGCACAACUUUCCAAGUCCAACAAGUCCCAAGAGUGUUCCAUAUAACUCAAAAUGUGAUGGAGUUGCCUCACCUCCCAAAACACAAGCUUAAGGGACCAAAAAGUGACAAAUAUGAAAAUUAUCAAGAUCCUAUAGCAAGUUUGAAGCUAUUUUACUCACAAUGGUCUAAGAAUGAAGUAACCUUGUUGGAUAUAUACUUAAACCCUUCUUCUAUACACUUUGUUACCAUCUUGUUCUUCAAGAUUCCACCUUCCAAUGGAGAAACGAGCUCAUAAAUGAUGCUAAAGCUCAAAUCAAGUGAGAGGAGGCUAUGUGUCACACCCCAAAACCAAGAACGGCGGAAACGUUCUAGGGUGGAGGACGUCAUGUGAAGUAUCAUAACAGUGUAAAGUAGUAAACAAGCAACAACAUCAUCUAUUGCAUUAAAAGUAAAGUUUUAAUACAUGUGUGUUCUUUCAUAAUGUACAACAAUAAAAUGAAUAAUCAAAAUAAGACGAGUCAUGUCUGUGCUCCGUCUUCUCAAGGCCUGGCCAUCGUACCUGUCUAACUGGUGACCUGAGAAUACAAGUUAUUUUGAAAGCGAGUAUCCGCCUAAAGCUGGUGAAUUCAUAAGUAUUUAAGUGUCAUUGUCUUGUUUUGGAAAGAUGUUAUGAAUGCCUUGUAAAUCUUUAAAUGAAACAAUUGAAAUAAGUAUGAAAACCCUAGAAAAUCCCUUAUUUCCUACUAGUAUGAAAUGUAGUCUUCUACCAAGACCCGAAUGUUUUGCUAUGAUAAUGAUAGUUUUUCCUUCUUUUUGACUAUUACAAACAGUACUUAGUCUAACUCAUCGUUUAUGUGAAUGUAUCACAAAAUAAAGUAAAUAGGAAAAGAAUAUAAUAGUCUUCUACCAAGACCCGAAAGUUGUACUAUGAUAAUGAUAGUUUUUCCUUCUCUUUGACUAUUACAAACAGUACUUAGUCUAACUCAUCGUUUAUGUGAAUGUAUCACAAAAUAAAGUAAUAGGAAAAUAUAAUCAUGUAAGUGUUAUCCUUUUGUAUUAGGAUUAACACGACAUCGCGAUUUGCGAAAUGUAUAACCUUUGAACAUCCGUAGAUUGUUCAAUUGUCCUCUGUAGCUACAACAGGGCGGAGGAAGGGUUAGUCCCGUUAAGGUACUCCUAAUAUAAGUAUUAACCGUAGGCAUUCGUAGAUGUUCAUCGACCUCUGUAGNUAUCCCGUUGAACUGGGAUAGGCAGGACAAUUUACACAGAAGGUACUAAUAAAUCAUCCUAGUGAAUCGAGGUACAAGUAUCCAUGUAAAUGUAUACAGGAAAAUGUAUCUACGUAAAGGUACUCAUGUAUGGCAUUCAUGUAAGCGUAUUCAUGUAAGCGUAUCUAUAUAAGCGUAUUCAUGUAAGCAUAUUCAUGUAAGCGUAUCUAUGUAAGCGUAUUCAUGUAAGCAUAUUCAUGUAAGCGUAUCUAUGUAAGCGUACUCAUGUAUCAUGUAAUGUAUUGGUAUAGACUCAUGAAUGAACUGACUCUUGUGUGAUUUCUCGUAAGAGGAAUGAUGUUAUGUAUCUUCUAACUAUCCCUAUAAUAGUUAACUGGAAGGUAAUUGGUUGUUCAAGUAGGUUUAUACACCCUUGUUACACAAGAGUGUGGGAAACUGAAUGAAGGAUGAAAACUAUAACAUCAAUACAUAUAUAAGAACAUAAGUGUAUAAGUAUAGUUUUGUUCAAGAAGGUAAAAAUGGUUUUGUAAGAUAUCUAAGAGUUUUGAACAAUAAUUAACAAUGACUUGAUGUCAUUUUAAUAAACAUUUCAAAACUAAUACUUUUGUUAUCAAGGUAUUUUAAGAUAGAAAACCAUUUCAUGUGUCACCUUUUGAAAUAUGUGAAAUCUACUGAUUGAAAACACAGUUAUAAAAUACAUAAGAUUGAUUUAAUAACAUACUAUUUUCUACUUGUAUUCCCCCCCCCCCAACAUUAAAGCAUUUAAAAUCAUUUAAAACAUUGAUUAAGGGGUAUGAACUCACUUGUAGAUGGUCGUUUGGAUGAACUGGAUGAUGUAGGAUUGCCAGGUGACAAGUGAUGACUUGUUCACACUCAAAGAUCCUAGUUAACAUAUAAUCACACAUAUAUGUAUUCAAUUAGACUUUAAACCACUAAUUGACAAAGUUAAGACAUCCUAAGGCAUGUAAAAUGUCACACCACAAAACCACGAAUGGCGGAAACGUUCAGGGGUGGAGGACGUCAUGUACAGUAUCACAACAAUGUAAUAUAAUAAACAAGCAACAACAUCAUCCAUUGCAUUAUAAGUAAAGUUUUAAUACAUGUGUGUUCUUUCAUUGUGGUAAGACACCAAAAAUAUACAAUCAAAAUAAAAUAUGAGACUUGUCCGCUCCGUCUUCUCAAAACCUGGCCAUCGUACCUAUCUACUGCUGACCUGAGAAUACAAGUUAUUUUGAAAGCGAGUAUCAGCUUUAAAGCUGGUGAAUUCAUAAGAAAUUAAGUGUCGUUGUCUUGCUUAUGAAAAUCUGCUAUGAAGGCCAUGUAAACCUUUACAUGAAAAUGUUGAGGUAAGUAUGAAAUCCCUAGAAAAACCCUUAUUUUCUAUAAGUAUGAAAUGUAGUCUCCUACCAAGACCCGAAUGUUUUGUUAUAACAAUGUAGUCUUCUACAAAGACCCGAAUGUUUUGUAAGUAAAAUGAUAAUUUUCCUUUGGUUUUUUAGUACUAAAGUACUUAGUCUAACUCAUCGUUUAUGUGAAGGUAUCACAACAUAAAUCAAAGACCCGAAUGUUUUGUAAGUAAAAUGAUAAUUUUCCUUUGGUUUUUUAGUACUAAAGUACUUAGUCUAACUCAUCGUUUAUGUGAAGGUAUCACAACAUAAAUUAAACAGGAAAAAUCACUUAUGUACGUGUUAUCCCGAGGUACUGAGGUUAACACGACGAAUGUAAAUGUUAUCCCGAGGUACUAGGGCUAACAUAAUACAUAUAACCUAAUGAACAUCCGAAGAUUGUCCACUUGUCCUCUGUAGCAGCAGCAGGGCGGAGGAAUGGUUAGUCCCUGUAAAGGUACUCCUAGUAUAAGUAAUAACCGUAGGCAUCCGUAGAUGUUCAUCACCCACUGUUGCUAACAGAUGAGUUCCGGAAUGGUUAGUCCCGUACGUAUAUCCCGAGGUACUGUGGGAUAGAGGCCCAUCUAGGUAUCCCGAGGUACUAGGGAUAGGGUCCUGUCUAGAUAUCCCGAGGUACUAGGGAUAUGCAGGAAGAUUUACACAGAAGGUACUAAUAAAUCAUCCUCGCAAUUCGAGAUACAAGUAUUCAUGUUAAUGUACACAGUUAAGUGUAUCUACGUAAAGGCACUCAUGUAAUGCGUUCAUGUAAGCGUGUUCAUGUAUCAUGUAAGUAUAUGUAAACGUACUCAUGUAUCAUGUAAUCAAUUGUAAAGGUACUCAUGUAUCAGGUAAUGUACUGGUAUAGACUCAUGAAUGAACUGACUCUUGUGUGAUUCCUUGUAAUAGGAAUUAUGUUUGAAAUCUCCAAAUUAUCCCUAUGAUAAUUUACUGGAAGGUAAUUGGUUGUUCAAGUAUGUUUAUACACUCUUACUACUCAAGAGUGUGAAAAACUAAAUGAAAGUUGUAAACUAUAACAUCAAUACAUAUAUAAGAAUAUAAGUGUACAUGCAUUAGUUCAAGAGUGUAAAAUGGUUUUGUAAGACAUCUUAUGGAUUUUGAACAAUAAUUAACAAUGACUUGAUGUCAAUUUAAUAUACAUUUCAAAGGUAAAACAUUUGAUAACAAUGUGUUUUUAAGAUUUAAAACCAUUUCUUGCGUCACAUUUUGUAGUAUGUGAAAUCUGUUAAAUGACAAACACAGUUAUAAAAUACAUAUCAAUGAUUUAAUAACAUGUUUGUUUCUACUUGUAUUCCCCCCUUUAAAGCAUUUAAAAUCAUUUAAAACAUUGAUUAGGGGUAUGAACUCACCUGUAGUUGGUGAUUGGGAUGAACUGAACGGUAUAGGAUGGCUAGGUGUCAAGCGAGGACUUGUACACGCACUACGAUCCUAAUGAACAUAUAAUCACACAUAUAUGCACUCAAUUAGUCUCAAAUCACUAAUUGAUAAUGUUAAGACAUCCUAGACAUAAUAAACACUUUAUAUAAGUGUUUUAAGCCCUAAGGAUUGCAUCUAAGCUAUUGUGGGACAAGGCACUUGUGUUUAGGGUUCCAAAGGACCCUAUAUGUGAGUUUACUCCCCAUAUACCAUCACACAUGGAGUUUACGGUUGUAAACUCUUGAGUUUACGGCCGUAAACUCCCAACCAUGGGUGUUUUGUGUGUUUUGAAGUCCCAAAUGAUUCCUAGAAUUAUUCUAACUUGGUGGUUAAAUUCUUGGAAGGGUUUAAGGUCUAGAAACACUCCAUUUAGGAGUUUACGGCCCUAAGGCCAUUCCCCUUAGAGUUUACGGCCGUAAACUCUAAGUAUGGUGUGUUUUUGAUGCUUUCAAGUCUCUUGCACUUGUGGUAUAGGUUCUAGACUUUUAUUCCAAGCAUAUGAAGGCAUUAGGCACACUUUGGUGCCCCUUUAAGGAGUUUACGGCCCAAGAACCAUGUCUUGGCCAUAAACUCACUUUGUUAAGUGAUUUUGAUGUGGUUCAAGCCCUUGAUUAAAUGGGAACAAGUCUAGGUAAUUGUCUAAGGCUUUAGGAGCCUUAAAAGUACCAUUUUGAGUUUGAAAUUGGAGUUUACGGCCUAUGAUAUUCUUGGGCCGUAAACUCCCAAACUUGGGUGGAUUUUGGUUGUUUUCUUGUCCUUAAUACACCUACAAUUGAGUCUAAGGCAGUUGUAUAACACAAGGGUCGGUUUUGGCUUUGUUUUGGGAGUUUACCGCCCAAGAACACCUUGGGGAGUAAACUCCUAGAUCUAAUGAUUUAGCCAUCUAAAUCAUGUUAUAAGCACAUAAUAAGCAUUCUAACACUACUAGAAAGAGUUGCUCACGUUUUGGUAUAAAAACCCGAAGAUCCGUGAGAGAGAAAAUGGCUUUUCUCUAGUUGGAAAUAUGAAUAAUGAAUGAAUUUGGUUCAGAAAUCUAUUUAUAGUCCUGAAAUACUUUUGGCAGAAAAUAUUUUUAUUCCUGAAUUGAUCUCUAAUAUAAUAGUGUGUUGGAAUAAUAGUGUUGCACAAAACCCUAGUGCACCCACUCUCCUGAUAUUUCCUGAAGUGUAAACCCUGAAUUACUCAAACUUACGCAGAAAGUCUGAAAGUUAACUGUGACUGCUAUAACUUCUAUUGAAGUGAUAUAGUUUGUACAGAAUGGAAAUUUCGGGUUGUCACAUAAAACACCUUAUAUAAGUGCUACAAGUCUUAAGGAUUGCAUCUAAGUGCUAAAGGACCUUGCUAUAGUGUUUGGGGUUCAAGGGUAAACUCCCUUGGAGUUUACGGUUUUUAUGACUUUGAUCUAAUGAGUUUACGGUCAUAAACUCAAGAGUUUAUGGUCGUAAACUCCUCUCUUUUUUACCAUAAGUUGUUUUGAGGUUUUGCAAGUCCUUUGAAGCAUUUCUACUUGGUGGUUUGGCCUUUGGAAGAGAUUAGGGCAUCAUUACACUCCUUUGAGGAGUUUACGGCCUCAUGGUCAUUUCUCUUUGGGUUUACUACCAUAAACCCAUAUGGAAAUUGGUAUUGUUAUGUUUUCAAGUCCCUAACUCAUCAAGGUAAUUUUCUAAGCUAGUUUUUAGGCCUAAGGAAGGAAAAUGACCCAUUUAAACACACUAAAGGGUGUUCCCGGUUUUUGGAGCUCACCAAACCGUAAACACAUGAUCAUGUCAUUCUUUGGUGUUUUUUAUGGCUUAAACCCAUCAAGAGAAGGUUCAAACAUGUCAAGGUAAGUCUUAAACAUCAAACUAGGGCUAAACAAGGGACUUAGGCACACUUUGGUGCCAUUUAUGGUGUUUACGGCCCAAGAACCUUCUUGGACCGUGAACACCUCUAACCUUGUGUUCUUGGCAUAAUUUCUUGAUGUUUAGAUGUAAUACUAGCUUAAUAACACUCAAGGAUGGGAGUACUUACUAUUAGGAGGCUUGAUUUGAGCAAAAGUCCAAGAACACUUAGUGUUUGUUCUUGGUGUUCUUGGUGUUUUUGGAAAUCUAAUCAAAAACACAAAAAUGAAUGGAUGAAUAGAUGCACAAACACUAGAUUAAGUGUUUAAUCAACUUGGAAUGGAUAGAACACUUACAACUUUGAAGAUCUUGAAUUGUUUCUAGUUUGCUACUUGAGAGGUUUUCUUGAGUUUACUCUUUUGGAGUUUACUCUUUUAGGGUGAAAAGUGAAAAGUGAUUAACUAGAGGAGUAAACUCAUGCUUAUGCAUGAGUUCAUGAUUUUUGGAAGUUUUUCCGACCCAAACAUAAAAGUUUGGCCGUGAACUUCUAAAACACGAGGUGUUUGCGGUUUUUAAAAUUCAAAACCCGAGACGCACUUUCUUUCACCCGUUCGUUUAAAGAUAAUAUUAAAAUAAUCAAACGAACUUAUUUUUCCCAAAAACAAGUAAAAGUGAACUUGACUUAUAAUAUGAAGUGAUUGACUGCUAGGGUUUGACCGAAUGAAAAUUUCGAGUUGUCACAUCAUCCCCCUGUUAAAGGGAAUUUCGUCCCGAAAUUAGAAUUUAGGUAAGGAAGUAGGUAUGAAUGAUCAAGUCGAGAGGUGGGAAACUUCCUAAUCGAUUGGUUCUUGCGCUCAUAAGUGAAUACAGGUCCUCGGUUGGUAUUCCAACGAACCUUCACUAACGGGCGACGACGUUGUUUCGUUCGCUUGACCACUCGGUCAAGGGUCACUACGGUUCUAAUACGAAGGCGAGGAUCUUGUUAAUCUCGAUCUCGUCGAGUGGCUUACGAGAGUCCUAACGGAAAGGUACGGUUUGAAAAUCGAGACGCGAAGGGUAAAAUGUACUUUACUGAGUUCGCGGAGUAGGUCUAGUUUGUGAGAUACAGGACCGAUUCUGGUAAGAAUCUCGGAGGUCCUAACUAUAUUGGAUUUAGCUUUCCACGUUUUACGAAGUGUAUUAAGCCAUUCCCAGAGUGAGAUUCCUAAAGAAUUUGGUCUCUCACUUGGAAUUCCAAAGGUUCUUUCUCCUGCUUAACUUCCCAGUCAAGGGCCACCCCUUGCUGGGUCAAAGUCGAAAGGGUUUCUGUAAUUUGCGAGGAAUUCUGAAUGGACUAUGAUAGUAGGUCCGUAAGACCUAGAAUUUGGCGAAUUUUCUGUCGGUGACUAUGGUGCCGACAAAUUCCCAACGGUUUUGGAUAAUUUGCCAGAGUACUCAAGAAUUUCCACAUCACUAAUAGUGUGUCUCAGGAAAUUUGACUCUUUAAUUCCAAAACUCGUGUUCAGAGAACUUUGCGAAAAGUAUCUCCGAGGGUAAUGUUUCCAUGGGUUCUUUCUUACUACGAGGGUAGAUAAGUAAGCCAUUACAUGGAGAAAUGACGAACUGAUCCCAGUAAGAAAGACGUACCCUACUCAUUUAGCUCAUGAAUACUAUGGGCGUAUUGGUCCUAUCCGAGGGGUAUCACUACGGACUCGAAGUGUCUGCAUCAAGUUCGGAGGGUAGUCUUCAGGACAUCCUUCCCUAACACUCGAACUGGUGAUAUUCGGAUCUCAGGUCCAUUUCUGAAAGUAAUUCUUUCCGUGCGUUUUCUCAAUCAAUUCAUCUAUGCGAGGCAGAGAUAACGAUUUCUAAAGGAAAUCUUAAUGAAGUCCCCGAUCGUCGAGGUAUAUAUGAUGCACUCCAUCGACUUCUGGUAAGAAUAAGACCAGAGCUCUCAAGGGUGAGAAGCCUAGUCUUUCAAUUCUAUUGCUGAUUAGUUUGCUGAGUUUUCCGGGCUGUUCUUGUAUCUCCAUAGGUGUUUAGACUGUAAGGCGAUCUGGUUAUAAGAGUCAUACUGGGUUCUAAGUUUGUUCACAUGCCAAAUGCAAUUACUCGUAGUCUUGGGCAGCCUCUGUCCUGAAGUUCAUAUUAGAAUUCAUACAUGGCCCAACGAUCACAAUCUCGUGUAUACGAGUCGUAUAUAAUUAAGAUUGAAAAGGUAGUCGAAUAACUGAUUCUUCUUUAAGCUCACAUCCCAUCGAGGGAAAAGAAGUUAAAGUGGAAUCGUCAAUUCAAAACUUGUAGAACCUUGAUUAUAUAUUACUCUCAUGUAUACAUUCUUCAGUGAUAUAUCAACCGUAUGAAUCUUUGGAUUGAACUUGACGUAUUGUACGAGUGAUAUUGUGGGGAUUCCUUCGGAAAGGAAAAGAACUAUAAGGUAUUUCAUGCAUGAAUACUUCGAUGUUCUGCUAUGACGGCUUCGCUAAAAGACGAUUAACUGAGAAAAAGAUGUACGUAUGGAGCUGGUAUUGCGAGGAUCGAAUUUACUCGAGUCGUAUGAUAAAGUCGGAAUCAUAUGGAAAACUAAAGACAUUAGAUUUGAACAAAAGGCAUUACAGACAAAACCCAACAGUGCAACCUUUAACAGAGUUACUGAACUUAAGAUUUACUACAAAACUAUUGCUGCGAACUAGGUACACUACAAAAGAUAAGUAUACGCAGCACGAGCAUCCCUUAACGGACGGGAUCUCGCAAAAGAUAAAACUCUAGUUACACUAGUUUUUGGAUGGUUCAUAAGUCUGUUACAACGAAACGCCUAAAUUACAUUAACGUGGGUUCGGAGUAGUCUCUCCUGCGGCGGUGGUUGGUAGUAGACUUUCGUUUGUGCCAGCAUUUUCUGCCGCUGGGCAGUUCCUUCUGUAGUGACCUACCUUGCCACAACCGUAGCAAGCCUGGUUCACACCGGUGCUGGGCACUUGGUUGAUCAGCCUUGUUAGGCUCUUGCAGUAACGUCUGGUGUGCCCCUUUCUGUUACAGUUUGAGCACUGCAUCUCCCGACAACGUCCAUGGUGGUGAUAACUGCAUUGGAUGCAUUUUGGGAGAUUUCCAGCAUAUUGUCUAGCUGGGUUAGGGACAAUUAGGAUGCCCGAAGGGAUGGUAGUAGGAGGUACUGAUGUCGUGGCGGUGAAGGUUGUUAUUGGUGGUUGUUUCCUAUUCACCCUUCGAAGCGAUUUGUCCUUAGAUUUAGCCCAAGACUUCCGUUUGAUACUCUUGGUCUUGGGACUCGGGGUAUCGUGGUAGUUUGUUGCUGCUCGUUGAAGUGCUUGAUUGUUACUCAGAUUGGAAUUGUUGUUAACAAUCCCGCUAACAUUUGUGUUGUUAGCGUUCAGGUGGGUCAGAAUAGCUGAUACGGUAGGCAAGACUGCAACUUGAAAGGUAGCUGCAUCAAUCUGAAGAGUUGGUGUUUGGUUGAUGGGCUGAUCGUUUUUCUUGGGCGACAUGAUUCUGUUACACUGAAAGAAAAUGAAUUUGUGAGCGAGGAUGGUUGAACCUAGACGUAGUUCGAUCGCUCAUGUAAAGAAUAGAAGUAUGUUCUCUAAAGUUCGACCUACAUCCCUAUGAUGCAGUCCUAGUACGGAAUGGAAGCAUGUUCACAAAGGUUUAACCUACAUCCCUAUGAUGCAGUCCUAGAAAAAGUGGAAGUAAGCUCAUACAGUGGUCUUAAGACGUUUGUCGUUCGAGCCGAGGUACUGUUGGUUGGUGAAUAACAUGAUCCAACCAUUAAAAGAAACUUGGAGAUGUCUCCGGAGUUAAAUUGCUAUAGUCCAAUGACUUGACUAAAGCAUGUUUCAGAUAGACUCUAAUGAAAGUAUGAUAAGAGUAUUUGAAUAAAGAAUGACACAGAAGUUAGCCGACUGUCAAUAUCUUUGAUAUUCAUGACGUACAAGUUCGGGAAAAUGACCUUGUAAAAAGGUCUUACAUCAUAUCCAGAGAAGAUAGUUCUUGACAGCAUAAAGACCUAACCAAAAGUACUUACAGUACAAGAUAGUUUCAUAGAAAAUGCCACAUCGGGCAUAGAUAGAAAAACGAUUCCUUUCUAGCAAGGAAAAUAAAAUAAGGCAUCUACUACUGGCGACGGUCAUCCCUCUGGUGAACUCUCAGUUCAGCCAGUUGGCGUUCCACAUCAAGUAGGUGUCUUUCAUACACCCUCUGGCGUAUUCGAAGUUCUAUGACUUCAGCUCGUGAUUCAGCCAGUGCUUGCAGCAGGAUUUCAUGGUUUCUCUCAGAUCUCUCACGAGCAUCUUCUAGACAAAUGGUGCAGAGGGUAUGCAUUCUCGCAUCGGCGACAACUUUAGUGAUCUGAUGUAGGGUUGUCCUGCCUUGAAUCUCAUUUCGGGCCACUCUAUGGACCAAGAUUGGCAAGAUUCUGUCUGCUGAUCCCCCAUUGCUUAGGUCAUAGAAGUUUCGGUUACCAUUAAAUGGCAAGGGUUGAUCUUGUCCUUGGCUCCAUGUUUCCAAGCAUUCCACCCACUCAGGCGUCGGGCCAUGAAAAGUCGGACGAGGGUUAGGAAUUGGAAAGGGAGCUGCAUGGGGUAGGUUCUCAACCUCGGGUUCGGAGUUAGCACCGUCUGAAAGGUCUUCGUCAUGGUGAUCAUUCAAAAGGAUAGGAUGAUCAUUCUCCGGUUCUUCUCCAAACCAUCCAGCAAUGACUUCGUUUGGAAGGUACGAGUUGCCGUGGGGAUGGAGUCCAGCCAUGUUAUCUACGCGAGAAUUUGGGUAAUGAAAUAAUUAUCAGCCGAACUAUCUAGAUAAUUAUUAGAAAAUCUUCAUCAAUUAUAUCGCUAUUUGUAAAGUGCAUACCAGUUAUAUGUAAUCAACACAGGAUAGGCCUUCGAAUAAGUGACCUCAACUCCAAAUUCACAAGGAAUAGGGGUAAAGCAAAAAUUUCACCGAUUCUAAGUCUAUAACAUCCUAGUUACAUAUAACUUUAGUGUAUCCACUUAGCAACUAUCAACUUAGUAAUGAAGAUCCCGUUUUAGUUCUCAGGUAUAAAGUAAUUAUAGUAACACAAAACACCCCUAUGGUAUUUUAGACUUAGGUUCUGUUAUAAUGUUCUUAUUGUGGUAAUGUUGGUAAGUUAUUAGACUUGUUGCCAUAUCACAACCAUUCUUGGGCAUGUGCUAAUCACUCCUUGGAACAACAUAGUUGAUCAGGCUGUGCCACUCCCAAGACUGACCAUACAUCCCCGAGCUUACCUGUGAUAUUCAACAAUCGCAAUACUUUUGUUCUUGUCAUUAUGAUACGGAUUUUAGUAUGAAUGCAGGCACGUAUACUAAAUUAAAUAUGUUACUAUUUAAAGUAUAAACUCUUAGACAGAGUGUUUUAAUCCCAAUGUAUUUAUAGUUAGUAUAUCUUUUAUGGGUUGAUAUACUUAAUUCACUAUAAACAAAGCUCUAAUACCAAUCUGUCACACCCCAAAACCAAGAACGGCGGAAACGUUCCGGGGUGGAGGACGUCAUGUGAAGUAUCAUAACAGUGUAAAGUAGUAAACAAGCAACAACAUCAUCCAUUGCAUUAAAAGUAAAUUUUUAAUACAUGUGUGUUCUUUCAUAAUGUACAACAAUAAAAUGAAUAAUCAAAAUAAGACGAGUCAUGUCUGUGCUCCGUCUUCUCAAGGCCUGGCCAUCGUACAUGUCUAACUGGUGACCUGAGAAUACAAGUUAUUUUGAAAGAGAGUAUCAGCCUAAAGCUGGUGAAUUCAUAAGUAUUUAAGUGUCAUUGUCUUGUUUUGGAAAACUGUUAUGAAUGCCUUGUAAAUCUUUAAAUGAAACAAUUGAAAUAAGUAUGAAAACCCUAGAAAAUCCCUUAUUUCCUACUAGUAUGAAAUGUAGUCUUCUACCAAGACCCGAAUGUUUUGCUAUGAUAAUGAUAGUUUUUCCUUCUUUUUGACUAUUACAAAUACUACUUAGUCUAACUCAUCGUUUAUGUGAAUGUAUCACAAAAUAAAGUAAAUAGGAAAAGAAUAUAAUAGUCUUCUACCAAGACCCGAAAGUUGUACUAUGAUAAUGAUAGUUUUUCCUUCUCUUUGACUAUUACAAACAGUACUUAGUCUAACUCAUCGUUUAUGUGAAUCUAUCACAAAAUAAAGUAAUAGGAAAAUAUAAUCAUGUAGGUGUUAUCCUUUUGUAUUAGGAUUAACACGACAUCGCGAUUUGCGAAAUGUAUAACUCUUGAACAUCCGUAGAUUGUUCAAUUUUCCUCUGUAGCUACAGCAGGUGGGAGGAAUGGUUAGUCUCGUAAAAGUAUUCCUAAUAUAAGUAUUAACCGUAGGCAUCCGUAGAUGUUCAUCAACCUCUGUAGCGAACAGUAGGCCCAUGGAAUGGUUAGUCCUGUAAAGGUACUCCUAGUAUAAGUAAUAACCGUAGGCAUCUGUAGAUGUUCAUCAACCACUGGUGCUAACAGCUGGGCUACGGAAUGGUUAGUCCCGUCUAGAUAUCCUGUUGAACUGGGAUAGGCAGGACAAUUUACACAGAAG